GAGCGGAGAAGAAGGCCUCCCGGUGAAGAUGGACAGCCCGGAACGACAAAGCCUCCCCACCGGACGGUCCCUGCAGCAUAGAUGGCCCGGACCAGCUCACCCUUCCUUCCCACCGAGGGGAGUCUCAUAGGACAGGAGUGAGCACAGAGGAGUGCUAGUCCACGCCUCACUUCCUGGAUUUUCCCCCAGUCUGUACUGCAGCUAGGACAAAGAUGAUGUUGCAGCCAGACAGGAAUAUGUUCUGGAUGAUUCAGAAUCUUUUUCCUCUGUAGGUUUGCAGAGAUCUGGGAGUAAAGCCUCUGCUAAAAGAAGACACCUUGUGUGCAAAAUGGUGACAAUCCUCUGCCUGAUGACAGCGACUACACAACUUGUCUGUCAUACCGACCUAUCCCUCCGACCUCUGAAGAGACAACUAUUAGGGACAUGUAUAUUUGGGUCAAAGACUCUAUUUCUGUCGCAUCUCUUCUAACGAAUAUGAUUCCCCAGAGUUAAGAAAGAUAAUAUUUCCUUCUGGAAAGACAUAAAAAAUGAA
Long non-coding RNA from Hyla sarda, 532 nucleotides. RefSeq lists it as uncharacterized. The record is from RefSeq and is a predicted model, not a curated record. The transcript has 3 exons. Lineage: Eukaryota; Metazoa; Chordata; Amphibia; Anura; Hylidae.